RNAcentral lists this long non-coding RNA (211 nucleotides) under Panax ginseng (ginseng). RNAcentral describes it as "long non-coding RNA (PGIN_LNC019117)". The record is from RNAcentral. Lineage: Eukaryota; Viridiplantae; Streptophyta; Magnoliopsida; Apiales; Araliaceae.
AUCAUUUAGGACUGAGGAUGAUGCAAAAUAUUUUAAAAAAAACGAAUCCAGUGAAACAAAAGAACAAAUAUUAAGGAUUCGUACUUUAAACAACCCAAGUUCAAAAAUACUUCAUAAAUAACCAGAGUGGAGUAAAAUUCAAGAAUGAAGACCAAAACAUAGAUCCAAUCAAAGAUAGGAAUCAUAACAGACAAUCUUGGACACAGAGAAG